This 460-nucleotide ribosomal RNA is filed under the name uncultured bacterium. RNAcentral's name for it is "partial 16S ribosomal RNA". It matches the Rfam family "Bacterial small subunit ribosomal RNA", at positions 338 to 795 of the family's 1533-position model. The record is from RNAcentral.
CCUACGGGUGGCAGCAGUGAGGAAUAUUGGUCAAUGGACGAGAGUCUGAACCAGCCAAGUCGCGUGAAGGAUGACUGCCCUAUGGGUUGUAAACUUCUUUUAUAAAGGAAUAAAACGAGGCACGUGUGCCUUUUUGCAUGUACUUUAUGAAUAAGGAUCGGCUAACUCCGUGCCAGCAGCCGCGGUAAUACGGAGGAUCCGAGCGUUAUCCGGAUUUAUUGGGUUUAAAGGGAGCGUAGAUGGGUUGUUAAGUCAGUUGUGAAAGUUUGCGGCUCAACCGUAAAAUUGCAAUUGAUACUGGCAGUCGUGAGUACGUUUGAGGUAGGCGGAAUUCGUGGUGUAGCGGUGAAAUGCUUAGAGAUCACGAAGAACCCCGAUUGCGAAGGCAGCUUACUAAACUGUGACUGACGUUGAUGCUCGAAAGUGUGGGUAUCAAACAGGAUUAGAUACCCGAGUAGUC